GAUGAAGAACGUAGUGAAAUGCGAUAAGUAAUGUGAAUUGCAGAAUUCAGUGAACCAUCGAAUCUUUGAACGCACAUUGCGCCCGGCAGUAAUCUGCCGGGCAUGCCUGUCCGAGCGUCAUUUCUACCCUCGAGCGAGUCCAGCAUCUAGGUGCUGGGCCUCGCCCGGCGUUGGAGCACUACGGGAAGCCCUGUGCUGUCCCCCGUAGGCCCCGAAAUGAAGUGGCGGUCCUGCCGCGGCGCCCCCUGCGUAGUAUAACAGCUCGCUUCGGGACCCGGUGGAGGCCUGCCGUCAAACUUAUACUCUCUAAGUUUGACCUCGGAUCAGGUAGGGUUACCCGCUGAACUUAAGCAUAUCAAUAAGCGGAGGA
Molecule: unclassified non-coding RNA, 370 nt
Filed under: soil metagenome
Description: partial contains 5.8S ribosomal RNA, internal transcribed spacer 2, and large subunit ribosomal RNA
Rfam family: 5.8S ribosomal RNA (bases 1-120)
Source: RNAcentral